UACGAAGGGGGCUAGCGUUGUUCGGAAUUACUGGGCGUAAAGCGCACGUAGGCGGAUAUUUAAGUCAGGGGUGAAAUCCCAGAGCUCAACUCUGGAACUGCCUUUGAUACUGGGUAUCUUGAGUAUGGAAGAGGUGAGUGGAAUUCCGAGUGUAGAGGUGAAAUUCGUAGAUAUUCGGAGGAACACCAGUGGCGAAGGCGGCUCACUGGACCGUUGCUGACGCUGAGGCGCGAAAGCGUGGGGAGCAAACAGG
This 253-nucleotide ribosomal RNA is filed under the name uncultured bacterium. RNAcentral describes it as "partial 16S ribosomal RNA". It matches the Rfam family "Bacterial small subunit ribosomal RNA", at positions 524 to 776 of the family's 1533-position model. The record is from RNAcentral.